RNAcentral lists this ribosomal RNA (303 nucleotides) under Prorocentrum minimum. RNAcentral's name for it is "partial Bacterial small subunit ribosomal RNA". It matches the Rfam family "Bacterial small subunit ribosomal RNA", at positions 232 to 527 of the family's 1533-position model. The record is from RNAcentral. Lineage: Eukaryota; Dinophyceae; Prorocentrales; Prorocentraceae.
GAUAUCUGAUUAGCUAGUUGGUGGGGUAAAGGCCUACCAAGACAAUGAUGCAUAGCCGAGUUGAGAGACUGAUCGGCCACAUUGGGACUGAGACACGGCCCAAACUCCUACGGGAGGCUGCAGUAGGGAAUCUUCCACAAUGGGCGAAAGCCUGAUGGAGCAACGCCGCGUGUGUGAUGAAGGCUUUAGGGUCGUAAAGCACUGUUGUAUGGGAAGAAAUGCUAGAAUAGGGAAUGAUUCUAGUUCGACGGUACCAUACCAGAAAGGGACGGCUAAAUACGUGCCAGCAGCCGCGGUAAUACG